This 213-nucleotide ribosomal RNA is filed under the name uncultured Lactobacillus sp. RNAcentral's name for it is "partial 16S ribosomal RNA". It matches the Rfam family "Bacterial small subunit ribosomal RNA", at positions 149 to 355 of the family's 1533-position model. Lineage: Bacteria; Bacillati; Bacillota; Bacilli; Lactobacillales; Lactobacillaceae. The record is from RNAcentral.
CCUGGAAACAGAUGCUAAUACCGGAUAACAANAGAUGAUGCCUAUCAACUGUUUAAAAGAUGGUUCUGCUAUCACUCUUGGAUGGACCUGCGGUGCAUUAGCUAGUUGGUAGGGUAACGGCCUACCAAGGCGAUGAUGCAUAGCCGAGUUGAGAGACUGAUCGGCCACAUUGGGACUGAGACACGGCCCAAACUCCUACGGGAGGCAGCAGCC